AGUGAACGCUGGCGGUAGGCCUAACACAUGCAAGUCGAACGGCAGCACAGUAAGAGCUUGCUCUUACGGGUGGCGAGUGGCGGACGGGUGAGGAAUACAUCGGAAUCUACUUUUUCGUGGGGGAUAACGUAGGGAAACUUACGCUAAUACCGCAUACGACCUACGGGUGGAAGCAGGGGAUCUUCGGACCUUGCGCGAUUGAAUGAGCCGAUGUCGGAUUAGCUAGUUGGCGGGGUAAAGGCCCACCAAGGCGACGAUCCGUAGCUGGUCUGAGAGGAUGAUCAGCCACACUGGAACUGAGACACGGUCCAGACUCCUACGUGAGGCAGCAGUGGGGAAUAUUGGACAAUGGGCGCAAGCCUGAUCCAGCCAUACCGCGUGGGUGAAGAAGGCCUUCGGGUUGUAAAGCCCUUUUGUUGGGAAAGAAAAGCAGCAGGUUAAUACCCCGCUGUUCUGACGGUACCCAAAGAAUAAGCACCGGCUAACUUCGUG
RNAcentral lists this ribosomal RNA (492 nucleotides) under uncultured bacterium. RNAcentral describes it as "partial 16S ribosomal RNA". It matches the Rfam family "Bacterial small subunit ribosomal RNA", at positions 29 to 507 of the family's 1533-position model. The record is from RNAcentral.